AAUUUAAGCAUAUAAUUCAGCGGAGGAAAAGAAAGCAAAAGCGAUUCCCUUAGUAAUGGCGAGUGAACAGGGAAGAGCCCAGCGUGAAGGCUUUUACGCGAAAGCGUAAGAGCGGUGCCACGUUAAUGUAGCGGUGUUGUAAUAGACGGAAUCCCCACAAGUCCCUCUGACAAGGGGCUGAAAAUCGAAGGUGGUGCUAAUCCAAUAGUGGGGAGGAAGUUUGUUGCUAUCCGUUGCAUACUAGAGUCGGGUUGUUUGAGAGUGCAACCUAAAGGGGGUGGUAAACUCCACCUAAGGCUAAAUAUCACUGUGAGACCGAUAGCGAACAAGUACCGUGAGGGAAAGUUGCAAAGAACUUUGAAGAGAGAGUUCAAAAGGACGUGAAACCGCUUGUAGGUAAACGGGUGGACCCAAGAAGUUAGCUGGGGGAAGGAUUCAGCAGUUCUUUUCAUGGCUGCUCGCUGUUGUCGUUCAUCAUUGAUGAUGGCUCAGUGGGUAAAGUCGUGAUUAAGCUGUGCACUUCCAUUCCCCUAAUGCUUAAGCUCUGAGCAGUUACGGGGCCUUUUCAGCUUAAGGACGCACGAGAGAAGGUGGCUCGUUCGGUGCUUGCAUCGUUCGGGCUUUAUAGCUCAAGUGUAUCUGCUGACAGGCGAGGUGACUGAGAGAAUUGCUCCACAAGUUGGGGUUGAACGGGUGCGUAAGAGUUAGCGCUCCUGACUGGGCUUUCGGAGGGAGCAUUUGUGUGCUUAGCAUCCAAAUUUCUUUCGUCUGU
RNAcentral lists this ribosomal RNA (772 nucleotides) under Leptotrombidium sp. RNAcentral describes it as "partial large subunit ribosomal RNA". It matches the Rfam family "Eukaryotic large subunit ribosomal RNA", at positions 31 to 629 of the family's 3401-position model. Lineage: Eukaryota; Metazoa; Arthropoda; Arachnida; Trombidiformes; Trombiculidae. The record is from RNAcentral.